GUGCUUGUUUCAGCAGCACAUAUAGCAACAUUUUAAUGAUAUGGAGAAGAUUAGCAUGGCUCCUAUGCAAGGACAACACAUAAAUCCAUCAAGUAUUCCAUAUUUUU
RNAcentral lists this small nuclear RNA (107 nucleotides) under Colobus angolensis palliatus. Lineage: Eukaryota; Metazoa; Chordata; Mammalia; Primates; Cercopithecidae. The record is from RNAcentral.